UUUGCACCGGGAACCCCCUUCAGACAUUAGGGCUCAUACAGAGAGCGGUCAUGGUAGCAGUGUUGAGGAGCCCCCCACCUCACCCCACCCCACCCCACAUGACCACUUCCCACCCCCUACCCAGACCUCACCACUCAGCGCUGCCAGCAUCAUCCCAGCCAGCCGGCAGCCAGACGCGGGGCCGAGGCCAGCACAGACAGCAACACAGGAGCCACCGAGGACCAAGGCCACAGAGAUAGCAGCACACAGACUGAACCAAAGGACAGCGCAUACACAGUAACCAAUAGGUGAGUAUCACAUGAUGUCAGCUCCGUUAUCUCAGCCCAAUUAUCUGCCUAAACCUGCUCAGGGGUCAGACAUUAUGGCUGUGAUUGACAACUGAUGUAACUUCUCAGAAAUUAAAGAGAAGACUUUAUUUUUUUCAUGUAGGCUACAGUCUGGUGUAUCCCUGUGAGUGGCCCCUAUGCAAUCCCCCAGACCUGUGCAACAAUUGUGUGAUUACACCAUCCCUCUUCCUGGGAUGAGGGUCAAAACUGAGCACUCAGUCACAGGUGUUUAUAUGAGCUCAGCAUAGUGUCUGGUUGCUGAGUAAUGUUCUGCGGUGUCCAUGUCCACACACUAAAACGUGCCAGAUAGAGACACUGUUCAAGGGCACAGUCAGCCCGCCAUUCUAAAUUGGCCGAAAGUCAGACACAGAGGGGAACGCUGUGUAUCAGAUUAUAUCAGAUAUCAGAUCCAAGAAAACUUGUCUGAAACCUUACUGUCACCAGUGACCCACAACAACAUCACUUCCUCCUGACAGAACGAGCUGAAGGUGUCUUCUUUACUCUGAUUCAAUUGUGUGUUUAGCUAUUUUUUACCAGCCAAACACAAACAUUAAAUAAUUACUGUAUAUAAACCAGAUGAAGUGUCAGCGCUCCAUGGGAGUUUCCUCCUCCUUCUCUUCCAUCUCCUUCCUCUUCCUCCUCCUUCUCAUCCUCCCUCCUUCACCUCCUCCUCAAGCCUCCUUGUGGUGCCUGAGGCCUGAUGUGGGUAGGCAGGAGGCUCCAGUAAUCCUGUCUUUGUGGGCCAGGCUAGUUACACGCAAAGGAAGCAGGCAUGGCACUGUGCCCCUGCCUUCCUGCCUGAAUUCUGUGGUGUUGUGACCUCAGUGACACCCAGAGGCCCAACAACAGAUGUGUCCCCUGUGAACCCAGGGACCUGGUCACCCUGACACCUACACACAUCUAGUCCAUUCACCAGCACCUAGCAUAGACAUAUCACACCUCUCCAGUGAGGGAUCCUCUCCCAUAUUAUUAGGGUAUCAGUUCAAAAGUUAUUAGAAUGUUAUAAUGUUCUAUCAAGUUAACUGAUUAUUUCAUCUAAUGUAUAUGAGUACACCAGUUUAAUUAUCAAGUAAUAAGCAUUAAGAAUCAACUGGGAAAUGGUGCCCACAAACUUUAUGUGAGAAAGGAGUGAGAGCAAGGCUAACGGUAUGUGGAAUGAGUUAGAUCAUUUUUUUAAAUGGAAGCUCCAGUACAGUAGCAGUGAUCUAGGGAGAGAUUUCAAAGCCACAGGGAUGAGAGGUAAGGCUGAUGGAGGAAUCCUGGGUGUAAUGUGAAGAAUAGAGGAAGUAUACUGAGAGCAGAGGGAGAGAGGGAGCUCCUGGUAUGUGUCCCAAUUGGCACCCUGUUCCCUAUAUAGUGCACUACUUUUGACCAAAAGUAGUGCACUCUAUGGGGAAUAGGGUACCAUUUGGGACUUAAUUGUUUGUUUGCUCUGCGGCUGGGAGUCCUGCAGUUAGGGGUUUAGUUUGGGCGAUGCUCCUGGCACCCUACCCCCUCUGUGGUAGCUGUGAGAAGAACGUGCUGGAACAGGAGAAUGGCCCACACCCCUGCUGUCAUGAUGGCAGCAUCUCUCUCAACAGCGUGCUGCUGAUUAAAACUCUGUGGCCACAAUCCAACAUGGCUGAAGCUCCUCAAAAAUCAGUGCCAAAACGCAUUCCAAAACACCCCAAGUACUCCAAUCCCCAUGUAGGGAUUAGGGGUGUGGGAAUUUGGGAAUGUCAGUGGGAUUGCAGGGAUUAGGGUUGUGGGAACAGGGAGGAAUGUCAGUGGGAGUGACGAGUUGAGGGCACAGGGACAGGAAGGAGCAACAUUUAAAUAUGCAGGCAGGCAGGGGUCAAAGUCAUUUCCUGUUCUCCAACAUAACAUUUACAGCACACACACAUUCCCCCAAUAUACAGCAAGCCUCAGUCUUUAUGGUACCUCCCUCUUACAGUUUGAUACUGGAAUGGGACUGUACAGACAACUGUCACAAUGUACUUAUGUGUGGUUCAUGCUGUUCGUUGAGCGCUCUAAAGAAUCCUCCAAUGCUCUUCUUACCCACAGGUCAGUCUGCACUGGGGUCUUAGGACCUCUUUGGUUUCUUACCUAACUCCAACUUUCUUAGUCAGAACUAUCCUAUAGCGAUGUGAAGAGAAGACAGGUAAGGUAAAUCUGGGGGGGCCUGCCAGAACACUGGCGUUGAUGUUUUACUGUGUAGGUCUAUUGCUUGGUCCUCAGGCCCCAGGUGCAGUGCUGCAUCUCUGGUCAAUUGGGAGUCUGAGAUGAAGCACUGUAGCUCGGGAAGGGGGGCGCAGCUACAACGGGGUGAGCAGUCUGAGUGGUGGCCCCAUGUCUAUACCUCUCUGCCUUAUUUUAGACGGUCUUCUAAUGGAGACCUAUGUUCAGGAUAUUAGGGAUGGAGGGCCCCCGUGACUGGUGCUGCCCCUCCCAGCCUCUCUCUCUCUCUCUCUCUCUCUCUCCCAGGUCUGGCCACAUAUCUGAGAUGCCAUAUCAUCGCUCCACCCAUGAUGUUUACCUCUGCUUCAUACAGCCGUGUGGUCCAGUAAAGACUAUAGUUACUGGUGUGUUUUCCAUGCUUUAAUUCACCACCUCCUCCUGAGUGCAUUUGCUGCAUUACCCUGGCCUUUUCCUCGCUCCCGGGGUCCAGUUUUCCCAGGAAUCCCUUGGGCAAUCACAAGGGGGAUUCCUGGAAAUACUGUUCUUGGGGGUGGGGCUUGACUACAUGGAUCUGGGAUAGUAAUACAAUCUGCUCGUGAUAUGUUCCACAGACAUGUGUGAUGUAAUGGAAAAUUCUAUGAACGGGGAAGGACAAUGAAGGAAGAUAGAACGAAUGCUACACUAUUUUAUAUCUUGAUGCAAGGCCUGGCCUGGAUAAAUACUCUUAUGUAUAUGUGUCUUUACCUUUUGAUAUGAAUUUUACUAUGUCAGAGAAUCUUUAUAAACUCAUACAAUUUCAUAUUAGCUAUAAUAUAACUUUUUCAUAUCAAAUGUGCCACGUAAUUUUUUUAAAAACUGUCAAUAAAUGUCAACAUUUUCAACA
Long non-coding RNA from Oncorhynchus tshawytscha (Chinook salmon), 3366 nucleotides. RefSeq lists it as uncharacterized. The record is from RefSeq and is a predicted model, not a curated record. Lineage: Eukaryota; Metazoa; Chordata; Actinopteri; Salmoniformes; Salmonidae. The transcript is spliced from 2 exons.